RNAcentral lists this non-coding RNA (323 nucleotides) under Brachypodium distachyon (stiff brome). RNAcentral's name for it is "Bacterial small subunit ribosomal RNA". It matches the Rfam family "Bacterial small subunit ribosomal RNA", at positions 47 to 298 of the family's 1533-position model. Lineage: Eukaryota; Viridiplantae; Streptophyta; Magnoliopsida; Poales; Poaceae. The record is from Rfam by way of RNAcentral.
CUUAACACACGCAAGUCGAACGUGAAAUGGUAUUUCCAGUGGCGAAAAGGUGAGUAACGCGUAAGGACCUGCCCUUGGGAGGGGAACAACAACCGGAAACGGUUGCUAAUACCCCGUAGGCUGAGGAGCAAAAGGAGAAAUCCGCCCAAGGAGGGGCUCGCGUCUGACUAGCUAGUUGGUAAGGCAAUAGCUUACCAAGGCGAUGAUCAGUAGCUGGUCCGAUCUAUUACUCCCUCGCUACAUUAAUUGUCGCAGCUUUGUCUACGUACGCGUGUACCUACACACAAAAACACAUAUAGAUACAUGCGUAUCUAAACGGAGCG